GCCAGCACUCACAUUCAAGUAUUUGAUCUCCUUGUCCUCGGUGGCGAGUCCCCCUCUUCACCUGGCACUUGGGACAGACCUAGACUUGGUGUCUAGCACUUCUUGUUAUCUGGACAGAAGGAGCGAGACCCAGCUUGUUUUCUUUGAGCCGCGUGGACCUGUGUUAAUGGCGCUGAGGAGGAAUUACAUGAUGUUGCAGGUGAUAAAGCAGAAAUAAGGAAUCCAUACUCUUUUGAAGCCUACAUUUUAGAUGGAGAGAUGGACAAGCAAAAUAAAUGGAGUGGGGAAGGCGACUGUGGAGGCAACCUCCUUGAAGGUGGCAGUGAGUCUUAAAGAGUCGCUUCAAUGGAUGGAGGCCAAGGUGACUUCAGACGUGGGCAGGACAUCUCAUGAGGAGACCCUGCUUGGCUGGAAGGUUCUCCUAGCAUUGACUUGGUUGUACUAAGAAACGUGGGCAUCUGGUGUUGUUCUUCAGGGUCAUCGCAAGCCAAGUCCGCAGAUGAUUUGGAGCAUGUGGGGCUUGCUGUAAAGGCUGCCUGGGAGAG
Molecule: long non-coding RNA, 545 nt
Organism: Lontra canadensis (Northern American river otter)
Lineage: Eukaryota; Metazoa; Chordata; Mammalia; Carnivora; Mustelidae
Exons: 4
Source: RefSeq, a predicted model, not a curated record